AUCGCUCUUUGAAAAAUUCAUAUAAAGAGUCGGACCUGCCCGGUGAAAGAUUUAAACGGCCGCAGUACCCUGACUGUGCAAAGGUAGCAUAAUCACUUGCCCUAUAAUUGGGGGCUAGUAUGAAUGGUUUGACAAGAGCAAAACUGUCUCUAUAAAAUUUAUUAGAAUUUGGUGUUUAGGUGAAGAAACCUAAAUGAAAUUGAAAGACAAGAAGACCCUAUCGAGCUUUAAAAUAGCUUUUUAAAAAAUAUUUGGUUCUAAAAAUUAUUUUUGGAAAAUUUUUUUUGGUUGGGGCGACUGAGGAACAAUAAAAGCUUCCUUUUUAAAAGUAGACUGGUAAGUUUUGAUCCAAUAAAUUGAUUACAAAAAAUAGUUACCGUAGGGAUAACAGCAUAAUCUUUUUCAAGAGUUCUUAUCGAAAAAAAGGCUUGUGACCUCGAUGUUGGAUUAGGGUAUCCUAAAGGUGCAGAAGCUUUAAGGGU
Molecule: ribosomal RNA, 482 nt
Filed under: Paludinella (Cavernacmella) sp. HSEKD.1
Lineage: Eukaryota; Metazoa; Mollusca; Gastropoda; Littorinimorpha; Assimineidae
Description: partial 16S ribosomal RNA
Rfam family: Bacterial large subunit ribosomal RNA
Source: RNAcentral